Molecule: ribosomal RNA, 404 nt
Filed under: Fusobacteriota bacterium
Lineage: Bacteria; Fusobacteriati; Fusobacteriota
Description: Fusobacteria bacterium partial 16S ribosomal RNA
Rfam family: Bacterial small subunit ribosomal RNA
Source: RNAcentral
UGGGGAAUAUUGCACAAUGGAGGGAACUCUGAUGCAGCGACGCCGCGUGAGUGAUGAAGGAAUUCGUUUCGUAAAACUCUGUUCUAUGGGAAGAAAAGGACUGUACCAUAGGAGAAAGCUCCGGCUAAAUACGUGCCAGCAGCCGCGGUAAUACGUAUGGAGCGAGCGUUGUCCGGAAUUAUUGGGCGUAAAGGGUGCGCAGGCGGCUUUACAAGUUGGAUGUGAAAUAUUGUGGCUCAACCACAAACGUGCAUCCAAAACUGCAAAGCUUGAGUUAAGGAGAGGUAAGUGGAAUUCCUGGUGUAGCGGUGGAAUGCGUAGAUAUCAGGAGGAAUACCGGUGGCGAAGGUGACUUACUGGACUUAAACUGACGCUCAGGCACGAAAGCGUGGGGAGCAAACAGG